CAGCCAAACACGAGCUGCCCGCCUUUAAUGUCUUGACAAGGCUUUUCAUGUAGCUUUGCCAGGCUGCUGAUUUUAAUAGAAGGACUCGGAUAUAACAGCGUUUUAAAAAGUGCUCUUAUUGCCAUUUCCUCACAUGAAGUUCCCUGAGCAGCUGGUCUGAAUGUCACAGUACCCUCAUCUGUUCCGUGAGAGCCCAAGUGCCUCCUUGAGAACUAUGAAAAUAGCAGCUGAGAACAAGAGGAAGAAGCUGCUCAAGUUUUUACAGCACUAGCUCCAAGUGGAAUGAUUGCACCCUCGGUUUGUUUCAAUGAGUGAAAUGAAAGUAUUUCCGAAUGCAGAUGGGAACAAGAGCUUGAAGAUGAGAUAGGACGCAUAGAAGAAUGAAGAAGUGUCCAAGACCUGAGCUGAGUUCACACAUCUGCCUCACAUCUCGGUUCUAAAUCAGGCUAACUGGUGGUUGUAUGCCAGCUUGGAAACCAUCACAACAUUGGAUCAAGUCUGAACAAAGGGAAGAACAGGGUGAGAGAAAAAAAGAAGUUUGAACAAGGAACUUGCUGAUACCUGCUUUUAAGUCUAUACUCAAAGCCAAAGAGGAUUUGAUAAUGCCAGUAUAUUGAAGCAGUUCAUUGUCUUGCUUUUCUUCUUUUCUUUUGUUUUAAAACAAGAAAAGUUUAUUGGGAAGUAAGAGGACUAUAUGUUACAUGGGAGGGAACUGGAAAAGGGGCUGCCUAAGACAACAUUCCACUGGGAAUUGAACCCAGGAUUUUCUGUUCAAGAGUCAGGUCCUUUAACCUAUUAAGCCUUAGAGAUGCCUGGCAGUUGUUAAGUUUCAAUUGAUUUACUUCAAAAUUAGAGAUUCUGCAUUAUGUUUCACUGAAAGUGAAAACAUUAAGGUACACUUGUGGCUUGUGUGCCAGUUUGGCACAGUGCAAAGAGUGGGCUUUGGGGCCAAAACCCUUAGGUAUGUGUCCAUACUGUUCUACUUCCUCACCAUUGUUCUCAUUUGCAAAAUGGAAAAAAAAAUCUCCCUUUAGGUAAGCGCUCUAGUGACAAAUAGUUGCUUAUUUUACUCUACAAGUUUUAAUGACUAAUGAGUACAAAGUUCACUUAUUUUAACAUAAAAAUUAAUCAGUUGGAAUGGAUAAGAUCAUGUUUAUGAGAGAGAUGCCUGUUGUACUCUGCCGUGAUACAAGCAUAGUAGCUAUUGGGUCAAAACACAAGGGAAAUUGUAAAUAUUCAACAUUUAUUUUUCCUGAGGUUCAUAAGGCUCUUUGGUUUUAUUUCCUUUCUGCUUUCAUAAAAAUAUACGGUAAAAUAUAAUUUUUGGAAAGUUGGAAAUAUGAAUCUUGUGCAAAUAUAAAUGAGUAUUCAUCAAUAUUUUUAUCCAAGUCACUUUUAAAGUUAAAGAACCAAUAUAAGGGUAAAACUAUGUCCAAGAGUAUUUGAGAAACAAAAGUAUAUGUGUUUGCUUGCGUGUGUACAUAUACAUGGAUCUAGCUAUCAUCUGUCUAUCUAUCUAUCUAUCUAUCUAUCUAUCUAUCUAUCCAUCUAUAUAUCUACCUAUAAUAUAUCGGUGUAUUACCUUAUCUGUCAGUGGCUUUAAAAUAAUAUAUUAGAAGGAUGUUAAAAAAGGUUUGCUCUAUCUUUUCACCUUUGCUUUUAAUUGUUAGACAUUCUUUUUAAACUCUGGGACCACCCUGGUAUUGUACUUAGUGUUGCAAAAUCACUUCUUUAUGUUUUAAAAACAUCUUUGAGACUUUGUAAAAUGUAAUAUGACAUGUGCAUUAUAAUACAUUCAAUUAACACUCUUAAAUUUAGAAAGACUUUUGGUAAUUUAAUUCUGUUGUUCUAAAAAUAAUAUAUAGGUCAUGAGAAACAAGGAAAUAGAGUUAAGAUGGAGUUUAUAACAAUUCUUUUGGGUCAUUUGAAUUAAUCUUAGGAACCAUAUUUCUAGAACCACUUCCUAUAUUCAAUUUUAUAAAUUCACAAUGUAGGAUAUCUCUUAAGAGUAAAUGAACCGGUACAGGCGAUUUUGAAAGGUAUUUGUUGAGAAAUAGCCAUGAUUAUUAGAAACAACCUUGUAGCUGGGGCAGACAUAUUACAGCUCUCAUUUUAAGGAUAAAGAAUGUGAAUUAGGAAGUGGUUCAGCAGCAGGGCCAGGGCUGUAAAUCAGUGCUGCUACCCAGCUCUGAUCUAUUGGGCCUGACAGAAGGGAGAUGCUUGUGGAUGCAGCCGCUAGUUUCCAGAUGAGUUAUGCUCCUGAGGAUCAUUUGUAGGUUCAUUGUUUUGAGCUGGACACAUUUCUUUUCAUAGAUAUUGUGAGAUGACUAAAGCUUGUAUUUCAAGUCCAGCUUGCCAAAACCUUACCCCAUCAUGUGUCUAUACCAUAGACAUACGGGGCUGUGUCACUGUUAGUUUCUACUGGAGAAUUAGAGUUCAAAGUUGUCAUUUGAGGUGUAUUUUAUGCUGUGUCUCCCUCCUCACUUUCCAUGGAAGCACUAGGAUUGUGGCUCAGUUUCCAACACCUCACAGCUGUAGAUGCUCCGCUGGUAGCAGCCAACUGGAGAGAGAUGCCCACCAUAGUUUUUGGAAGGAGUUUUUAAUACAGAAUGCAGCACAGCCAGGAACAGGCUUCUCUGAGGGACAGAGAUUGGACUUUUGUGGAAGACUGGACCACAGCCUAUGGUGUGUUGACAGAAGCAGUCUAUAAAAUAGUGUGUGUGUGUGUGUGUGUGUGUG
Mesocricetus auratus (golden hamster) is the source of this 2739-nucleotide long non-coding RNA. RefSeq lists it as uncharacterized. The record is from RefSeq and is a predicted model, not a curated record. The transcript is spliced from 5 exons. Lineage: Eukaryota; Metazoa; Chordata; Mammalia; Rodentia; Cricetidae.